CACAGCCUCAGAAACAACUCUGACAUUAUCAUCAAAGGAGUUGACAAAGGAGGUGCUGUAGUCAUAAUGAACAGGUCAGAUUAUGAACAGGAGGCUGCCAGACAACUCUCCAAGACCACAUUCUACAGGCCACUAUCCUCUGAUCCCACUGAGGAAUACCAAAAGAAAUUACACCAUCUGCUCAAGAAAUUCCUGGCUACAGUACGGGAACAAAUCUACAUGGACACACCCCCAGAACCCCGACCAGGGGUAUUCUAUCUGCUACCCAAGAUCCAUAAACCCGGAAACCCUGGACGCCCCAUCAUCUCAGGCAUUGGCACUCUUACAGCAGGAUUAUCUGGCUAUUUGGACUCUCUCCUCAGACCCUACGCUACCAGCACUCCCAGCUAUCUUCGAGACACCGCCGACUUCCUGAGGAAACUACAAUGCAUUGGUGUUCUUCCUGAAAACACCAUCCUGACCACCAUGGAUGUAGAAGCACUUUACACCAAUAUUCUACAUGAGGAUGGACUACAAGCUGUCAGGAACAGUAUCCCUGAUGAGGCCACAGCAAGCCUGGUGGCUGAGCUUUGUGACUUUGUCCUCACCCACAACCACUUCAGAUGUGGGGACAAUUUAUACCUUCAAGUCAGUGGCACUGUUAUGGGUACCCGCAUGGCCCCACAAUAUGCCAACAUUUUUAUGGCUGACUUAGAAAAACGCUUCCUCAGCUCUCGUUCCCUAGUGCCCCUCCUCUACUUGCACUGCAUUGAUGACAUCUUCAUCAUAUGGACCCACGGAAAGGAAGCCCUUGAAGAAUUCUACCUGGACUUCAACAAUUUCCAUCCCACCAUCAACCUCAGCCUGGACCAGUCCACAUAAGAGAUCUACUUCCUGGACACUACAGUGCAAAUAAGUGAUGGUCACAUAAACACCACCCUAUACCGGAAACCUACUGACCGCUAUACGUACCUACAUGCCUCCAGCUUCCAUCCAAGACACAUCACACGAUCCAUUGUCUACAGCCAAGCCCUAAAAUACAACCGAAUUUGCUCCAACCCCUCAGACAGAGACAAACACCUACAAGAUCUUUAUCAAGAAUUCUUAAAACUACAAUACCCACCUGGGGAAGUGAGGAAACAGAUUGACAGAGCAAGACGGGUACCCAGAAAUCACCUACUGCAGGACA
Molecule: long non-coding RNA, 1168 nt
Filed under: Chrysemys picta bellii (western painted turtle)
Lineage: Eukaryota; Metazoa; Chordata; Testudines; Emydidae
Description: lncRNA (ENSCPBG00000000664.1)
Source: RNAcentral